UCUCUUGUAGUAUAAUGGUCUAGGACGUGGGUCUGAUAAGCCUGAGAUGGAGGUUCGAUUCCUCCCAAGAGAA
This is a non-coding RNA of Tritrichomonas musculus, 73 nucleotides long. The record is from the annotation of a GenBank genome assembly. Lineage: Eukaryota; Parabasalia; Tritrichomonadida; Tritrichomonadidae.